GACGAACGCUGGCGGCGUGCUUAACACAUGCAAGUCGAACGGAAACGCCCUGCUUUUGUGCGGUUCUGGAUUGGCGAACGGGUGAGUAACACGUGAGUAUCGUGCCCUAGACUUUGGUAUAACUUCAUGAAACUGGGCCUACUACCGUACAGCAUCCCCUGCUGCAUUGUGGGGGUUGGAUAGUUUCAGCUGGUGGGGAUGGAUUCGCGGCUUAUCAGCUUGUUGGUGGGGUAGUGGCUUGCCAAGGCUUUGACGGGUAGCUGGCCUGUGUGGGUGACCGGCGACAUGGGGACUAAGAGACGGCACAGACGGCUACGUGGGGCAGUAGUGGGGAGUAUUGCCCAAUGGGAGGUAGCCUGUGGCAGAAUCGCCGGGUGUGGAAUGACGGCUUUUGGGUUAUGAACAGCUUUAGCCUAUGACCAAGCUUGUGUGACGGUAAUGGGUAAAGAAGCACCGGCUAACUACGUG
RNAcentral lists this ribosomal RNA (468 nucleotides) under uncultured bacterium. Its description in RNAcentral is "partial 16S ribosomal RNA". It matches the Rfam family "Bacterial small subunit ribosomal RNA", at positions 28 to 507 of the family's 1533-position model. The record is from RNAcentral.